CCCGUCACACCAUGGAAGUUGAUUGCACCAGAAGUGGGUAGCCUAACUGCAAGGAGGGCGCUCACCACGGUGUGCUCAAUGACUGGGGUG
RNAcentral lists this ribosomal RNA (90 nucleotides) under uncultured bacterium. Its description in RNAcentral is "partial 16S ribosomal RNA". It matches the Rfam family "Bacterial small subunit ribosomal RNA", at positions 1393 to 1482 of the family's 1533-position model. The record is from RNAcentral.